UUAAAUAUGGGGAGGCUGUGCUUUAUUCUCUCUCACACUGAAACAGCUGAUAAUGACUCUCACAUUUCUUCCCUGCCCUACGAUGACUCCGAUGCCUAGUGCCCUGGAUGAGAUAUGUUCUUGAGUUGCUGCUCAAGAGGAUGCUUGCUUCAGAUCACAACCAGUUGACCUCAGCAGGUGGCUUGGCAUCUUUAAGAUGCCUCCUCAUGGCAAAAGCAUUGGAAGAACAUUGACCAAAGGAACGUGAUUGUGGAGUUGAAGAGCUCCAGCUGGAAGAGGCUCAGCCACCAUGCGUCUAAUGCUUUAGUUUCAUAGAAUAUGGCAGAGGUCAAAAGAACUUAAAUCAGUGAUUUGCAAGUUUGGCUGUAUAUUGGGAUCACUUAUAAACCACUGCUGCCUCGGCCCUAUCUCCAGAGUCAUUGAUUUGGUGUGUACUUAGGACACAUGGUGUUUAAAAUCCCCUCUGGCUGACUCUUCUAUCCCAAGACUAAUGUGAUACACAGUAUGCCUGUGUUGAUGUACUAAGUCUGCUCUUAGCAAGCUAUCCAAAUAUUUUAGUAUUGGGGUAUGUUAACCAUGAAGCUAUUCCUUAAGCCU
This is a long non-coding RNA of Nannospalax galili (Upper Galilee mountains blind mole rat), 597 nucleotides long. RefSeq lists it as uncharacterized. Lineage: Eukaryota; Metazoa; Chordata; Mammalia; Rodentia; Spalacidae. The record is from RefSeq and is a predicted model, not a curated record. The transcript is spliced from 3 exons.